This is a long non-coding RNA of Cuculus canorus (common cuckoo), 2022 nucleotides long. RefSeq lists it as uncharacterized. The transcript has 6 exons. The record is from RefSeq and is a predicted model, not a curated record. NCBI's taxonomy places the organism in Eukaryota, Metazoa, Chordata, Aves, Cuculiformes, Cuculidae.
UUCAGGUGCAGAGGCACGAGCUCUAGCACCAAGGGGUGACGAUGGAGUUGGGGUUAGAUUCCUGUAGCAAGAUGCAGAGCAAUGAGCAAAACAGCAUACCGGCAUGGGAGCUGUCUUGGGCAAGAAGAACAACGGUGGUGCGAGAGCCUCGAUGGGACAAGAGAAGAUGGUGCCACCCGAGUGGGCAAGCGGUGCUACACGCAGCCUCAGAGGGGUGAAUCUUCACGCAGGCAAACGGUCUGAGGUGCCACGCGGGCUGCCUUUGGAACGGGAAGAGCAUUUGAGAUAAAGAGAAACGUGUCGACUGCAGGAUCGUAUCAGGCAGCAGAUGUGACUUGAGCUGCUUCUGCCAAGCAUGGCUCAGGCUCUCGGACCUCUGAAAGCUAGGUGGAGGGACUAGGGCUGGGGUUGUGCUGGGAAGAGGGGAGGUGACUUGUAAUAGCAGGGAGCGGUUUGAGAGGUAGCAUAGAAGAGAGAACUGUGCAGGAAGAGUCCCCUUUGGGCAGGUAAAGGCAGAGGGGUCUCCUUCUCAGUCUAAAGCGAUCGUGUGCCAGGCAAAGUGGUUCUAGUCUGUCUGUGUUGUUGUCGUUUACGUAGUCCACGUGCUGUGCCUUAGGUCUUUCACAGGCCUCGAUGUCCUCUUUGUGCUCAAGGAAUGCUUGGGCAUCAUCUGUAGGGUCUCAAGUGCCUGUACUCAUUGUUCCCAUGCCAAUUGGGCACUGCUUGUCUCGCAUUGCUGUCUUACAGCAUGCAUGGGUCUUGCUUUCUGGAAGUUUCUGGUCAGUUGUCUAUUGCAGCGGCAUCGCAGGCCACGUCAACUUCUCUGAUCGAGUGCUUGCUUGCACUUCCUUGCAUCUGUCCCCUCUUCUGGGACUUCUUCUGUGCAUCCUCUACGUUCUAAGGUCUUUAAGCACCACUUCUUGCACUUGCAUCCUCCCACUUCUGGCCAUAUCCCUUACUAAGGGACUACGGUCUUCCACUUUUCUGGGGCUGCCGCUGAGACUUCCUCGCAGCCCCUACGUAUUCUUGCCCUGUCGCAUCUCUGGUCUGGGGGUCAUUCUCCUUAGAGUUUUCUUUUGUCUCUGGUGUGUCAUUGGUUUCACGUGCAGUGUCGUUGCAUGUAUUUGUCUGGUUGGAGCUGCUCUGCCCGAGGCAAGGAAGUAAUAAGUGUGAACAGAAGUAUAUCGGUAAGGUUCUGUGGUUAAUGUGCUGAUAUGCUCUGUACUUGUAGCCUAGUAUACAUACAGUAUGCUGCCCAUCGAGUAGCCAUAGAUGCAACAGCUGAGGAAAGUAGUUUCUGCCUGGCUCUGCAGCUGCAGGGGGAUGAACAAGACUGUGUGGGAUAAGCCAUUGGAGCGGUAGCAAAGCAGUUCAUAAUCAAGGGUGUUAUUUAUGGUAUGUGUGGAACUUAACAUUUGGGUUUGGUUGGGUUUUUUGGUUUCUUUUUCUGCCUGCUUGUAGUGUGAAAGAGGGUUAUUAUUCUCAAAUGGAAACAAGAUGUCUGUAAUUGUUAAGCUACUGCUGAGUAUUGAGGUGACUUAUUCAGUAUUGGUUUUCAGAUGCAGGAGGGCAACCUGUGUGCCAAAUGGUGAUUGCUAGGCAAGGAGAAUGCAAGCAUCAGAUGCAUGCAAGCAAGCCAGCCCUCGGUGCAUGCAAGCAAGCCCUUGAUAUGUUCAGGCAAGCCGGCCCUCGGUGCAAGGAACCCAGCAUUUGUGUGCAGGCUAGGCCUUGGUGCAUGCACUUGAAACAAGGACUUGGUGCAAGCAAGCCGACCCUUGGUGCAUACUCCUAAAGCAAGGACUUGAUGCAAGGUCUUAGUGCAGCCACGUAAUCACUCGAUGCCAGCUCUUGCCAGCCAGAAGUUAAUGCAGGCAUGAAAGCAAGGCAGCCAGAUAGUCUUUAGUGGGUGUACUUGAUGUCAGCUAGCCCUUGGUGCGUGCAUACAAGCAAGCAGUUCCUGCCAAGACUGGAUGCAGCCAGCAAGGACUUGGUGCACGCACUUGAUGCCUGCCUGCCAGCCAG